UCCUGAUUCAGAUCAAACUCUGUGUUGAAGUGAAUCUGUCCUGAUUUAGAUCAAACUGUGUUGAAGUGAAUCUUCUGUAAGUGAAUCAUGAUGAUUGUGAAUGUGUUUUUCAGUGAGGAAUGAAACUGCAGCGACUCCAAACUCAGGUGAGUUUCAGCUGAUAAACGUGUGUCUAAUUCACUAAUAAAAUACUGAUUCAGAUCUGAUUCAGACUCAAUCCAGUUUGAAUGUGAACAGGUCUUUGUUUUAUGUCAUAUUGUCUGAUAUUUGUGAUCAUUGCGUGUUUUAAAGAUGUUCUGGAUGAAGUGACUCCGUCUCUACAGCUCACAGAUCACUUGUGGUGGAUUUCUGUUCUCGUCAUCAUCUUUCUUUUGGCAUUUCUCUGUUUCAUACUGCGUAAAAGGAUCUUCAGAUGGAAGCGCGGUUGAUCUGUCAACGUGAGGAUGAUCCAGAACAGGGAUCUGGUAUCUGAUGAUCCUCGUUCACUACAGGAAUCUUCAGUGUCCAGAUGAUGAUCACCAUCUGAUGCUUUGAAUCAACAUCACGGCUCAUUUUUAAUAUGCACUCGCCUUACAGCACCUUGUUUAACCUUCACAACGAAGUACGAAGUAGAUUUCCAGACCCUUCAGUGUCUCUGUUCCUCUCUGUUGAAAUGAGCUGCUGGCCUCCAUACAACCUUCAAGAAGCAGCUGAAGACACUUUUCCUGCAUGCACUUAACUAACCAACAACCUUACAUCAAGGCACUUUACUAAAAAAACAUUCCCUUCUUCUCUGUAGAGGUGUAUAUAUAUAUUUAUAACAAAAUACAAACAUUAAAUGUGGUUUUGAUGCUCUUUAAUGAGGUGUGAUGGAUCGCUUUAGCCGACUCAUCUCAAGCAGCUCAUGAAUUAAUCAUCUCUUCCUCUUUACUACUAGUUACAGCACCAAAUAAACAUGAAUGAACAUCAGAAGAUACAAAAAUCACUUUAAAAAAUGAGGUACAUGUUGGUACUAAACUAUCAUUUUUGUGAAUGGUUACACUGAAUUUCACCUCUGUUUUAGUAAGCUUUCUAAUAAAUUUGCUAUUAUGUAUGUCACGAUUUUGU
Ctenopharyngodon idella (grass carp) is the source of this 1086-nucleotide long non-coding RNA. RefSeq lists it as uncharacterized. The transcript is spliced from 4 exons. The record is from RefSeq and is a predicted model, not a curated record. NCBI's taxonomy places the organism in Eukaryota, Metazoa, Chordata, Actinopteri, Cypriniformes, Xenocyprididae.